This 46-nucleotide non-coding RNA is filed under the name Schistosoma mattheei. The record is from RNAcentral. Lineage: Eukaryota; Metazoa; Platyhelminthes; Trematoda; Strigeidida; Schistosomatidae.
GCACUACUGAGGAGUCCCAUACUAGAACGAAAUGGCCGUCCAGUGC